GCGCCAGUAGCUCAGCUGGAUAGAGCAAUGCCCUUCUAAGGCAUCGGUCGAGGGUUCGAAUCCUUCCUGGCGCG
Molecule: transfer RNA, 74 nt
Filed under: marine gamma proteobacterium HTCC2148
Lineage: Bacteria; Pseudomonadati; Pseudomonadota; Gammaproteobacteria; Cellvibrionales; Halieaceae
Rfam family: tRNA
About the family: Transfer RNA (tRNA) molecules are approximately 80 nucleotides in length.
Source: Rfam by way of RNAcentral